AUGGGGAAUAUGUUUUCAUCCUUUGCUCUCUGCCUGGAUCUGUGAAAGACGAUACAAGAUGUAAUCUGUACUUUGGAGAAGCAGGUCGUCCAGUCUUAAAUCAAGCUGUCUUAAAGAAAAGCAGCACAAAAACCAGUCAGAGGUUCUGCCAGUUUGAUGUCUCAGUUGCUGAUUUUUUGAGACAUUUACAUUAUGUUCAACAAAAGGAUGCCAGCUGUGAUUACACUUUGGAAAAUGAACACAACUCUUUGUCACCUCGCAGUGAUCGAUACAACAUGACACAUAUUUUGGAGAAAGAAUCACCAACAACCAAAGUGAACUCACCAUGUACCAUGACCACAGAAGUUCCAAAACUUCAAAAGCCUGAAUCAAAUCAUACCUCACAAAAGAAAACAUCAGCAGAAUCAAGUCUCACAACACCCAGGGCUUCCACUUCUACCAGUACUGUGGACUCACCAUCAGAAGAAGUCUCAAGAAAGAUAAACACAAAAUCGUCAUUUACCUUGACCACAGAUUCAAACAAGACUGAUACCACAGUGAAAGUCGAAGAGUCAUUAUGGAAUUUGGCAGCAGCUGUGACAAGAUAUGGAAUAGUUGUGGGCUUCAUCCUACUGGUACUGGGGCUUCACAUAUUCAAAAGGAGAACUGGUGAUUUUGUACGGAUGAGAACAAUUAACCAUGGAGGAUCGUUACCGGCAGGUAAUGAUGGAGGCUCCAGUGUGAUUCUUUCAGUACCUGGUGACAACUGUCUUACUAUUGAGGAGAACAUAAACUUGCAGCAGAUGAAAAAUGAAAAUUCUGACAUUUACCACGUGUACGGCACCAUCUCUGAGGAAACAGAUGCACCAGAUUCACAGGAUACGAUUUAGAGCCUGCUGGACGCACACUGAAACAUUUUUGGUGACGUUGUCCGUAAAGUGUAUUUAAAGGGAUUUAAUUAAUUUAAGGUGGGGAAAGUUUUACAGGUAGUAGAUGUAUUCUUGCAAAAAGUCUUGAACUUAAAUUGUUGUAGAUUCUUUUUUCUAAGGAUAAUUGGCGUGAUCAUGCAGUUUUCAGCUUUUGCAUUUUUAAUAAAUGUUUUUAGAUCUUCAUUAUUUUGUUUUAAGUAACUGUAAUUUGGAAGAUGACAGUCAUAACAUCUGAGUCAUUCCCAAACUUAGAACUAUGUAUACUGUUGCCAUAUAAUAAGACUGGCUUACUUUCAAAUUAUCCAACUUUUCCAAAAAUCCAACAAUUUCUCCUUUAUAGAAUUGCCUAAUAGACUAUAUGUAUCUAUUUUAAUGGUGUCAUUUGCAUUUCAGAUUGUGUUUUUCAACUGUUUUUAAGGUGGGAUGUAUUUGUUUUGUGUUAAUACAAACUAAAGGGGAAACAACAUAUUAAACAUGUAUCUACAAACUGUCAACUGACAACACAAAAAGUUCUUCCAAAAUCUGCCUGGAAAAGGUCAAAGGAUUUAACUUCAUGUCCUUUUCAGUUUUCUCUUGGUAAUAAAAAACAAAAUCCUGCUUUUUUUUAAGGUUAUGUUGACACAGUUUGAAGUAAAGGAUUUUGUCUAAAUAUUAAAAAAGCCAAUCUUGACUUCAAUCACAGGUCUCAGAAAUCGUGGAUUUGAAUGCCCAAAAAUGUAUCUUCCAUUUAAACUCUGUACUAUUGCCAUGUCACACUUUCAGGAAUGGAAAACCAUAUCCAGUGAAACAAAAAUAUUUGUUUGUUUGCAAACAAAAAUAAACCUACGAACUGUACUCAGUAAGAGACAGA
Molecule: long non-coding RNA, 1758 nt
Organism: Oreochromis aureus
Lineage: Eukaryota; Metazoa; Chordata; Actinopteri; Cichliformes; Cichlidae
Source: Ensembl